AAUGGAGAUGGAGGGAUUGCUUCAAUGAGUGAGUUUCCAUCCAUGCAUUUGGUGAUUGAUAUAUAUACCUUUGUUGUUGUGCUUCUGAAAAAAUUGUUGGUAUUUCUGGUUUAAUCCUUUCUGAAGUCCAUCGUUGUGUGUUUCCAAUAUGUAUCACAAAAACAAUUCCAUUCAAGUUAAUUCCUUUUUUCCUUCCUGAAAAUUGUCCAUCUGGUU
This is a long non-coding RNA of Hibiscus syriacus, 216 nucleotides long. RefSeq lists it as uncharacterized. NCBI's taxonomy places the organism in Eukaryota, Viridiplantae, Streptophyta, Magnoliopsida, Malvales, Malvaceae. The record is from RefSeq and is a predicted model, not a curated record. The transcript is spliced from 3 exons.